RNAcentral lists this ribosomal RNA (259 nucleotides) under uncultured bacterium. Its description in RNAcentral is "partial 16S ribosomal RNA". It matches the Rfam family "Bacterial small subunit ribosomal RNA", at positions 524 to 776 of the family's 1533-position model. The record is from RNAcentral.
UACGGGGGAGCUAGCGUUGUUCGUCAUGUAUUGGGCGUAAAGAAGGUGUAGACGGCUAUUUUUAAAGGUUUGUUCUAAAAUCUAGAGGCUUAACUUCUUUGGUAGAACUUAUUCCAAAAUAGCUUGAGUUAAGAAAGGAAGGCGGUACUCUCAGUGGAGAGUUGAAAUCCCGGAAAAUUGCAGAGGACCCUUAUUAUGCGAAGGCGGCUUUCUUUAGUAUUAACUGACGUCGUGGCCUUAAAGUGUGGGAGCAAACGGG